UCUUCAGCUCACUAUUAUCCCUGGUGUGAAAGCAGAAGAAAGACAGUAUGAAUCAUGCAGCUGCUGGAAAAGAUUAUCUGUAACAUUACCAAACCUAUCAUAAAACAGGAGGGGGAGAAUUGAAGACUUGCUGAGAAUUCAUGUCAAAUAUAACACAGUUUCAUGUAUGAUCUUGUUGCUACGGGAAACAUCACCAAAACAUGGGGAUAAUUCCUAUGACUACAUUUUCUGGAGCUCUACCAUUAAUGCUGUUCUUGAGACUUCACUGACCAUGAGAAACUAUUGGAGAUGGAGUUCAAGAUACACUCAUAUAACACCAUAUAUUGCAACGGACUUGCUGUAAGAAAUGUUAAUGUUUGAACUAAGGUAGCUGGGAUAGAGCCAACCAGUGUUAUGAAUUUUUUACUUGUUAUCGGGACAUAAAGUCUUUUGGAAAGUUUUUAAGGUCCUGGGUUGUCUUUACAACCAUCCUAAAACACACUCAUUUUCUCUCCUACUUCCCAAUUUUAAUUCCUUUUCCCCGUCAUCUUUCCUGGUAUCACCAAUGCCUUUCCAUCCAGGUCUGCCAUAUGUGCUUGGGGGCAGGGAACAGUUUCUCUCCCAUGAUAAGAAUCAUCUGGCAUAGGCUCUGACAAUGAUGAAGUAACUGGCAUCAGAAUUAACCUCUUGCCUGAAAAGACAUGUACAUGAGGAAAUUAUCAAAGGCCUGGAAAAGAAAUAUCACAAAAGGCAAAUGAAAUCAUUCCUGGAGCUCACACAUGGCCAGGGUUAAUGUUAGUUUCCCACCAGCCAGACGGAGACAAACCUUGCAAGUCAUAGGGCAAAAAGAUGAGAACUCAGAAGGAUGUUGCCUCAGUUACGAGACCAAAUAGGUCCUAUGCUGAAGGUUGCACUGAUAUUGCUGAACAAAAUUUAAGAACAAGCUUGACAAGAAUCAAGCUGUUCCCAAGGAACUUAACUGUGUUCCACAAAGUCACUUACCCAUAGUUCCAGAAACACUGAAAAUUCUGAUAAUCAGCAGAUGUUGGGCAUUCAUUCAAAAAUUACCAGCUAUGCAAAGAAGCAGGAAAAAACAACCCAUAACAAAGAAAAUAAUCGGUCAAUAGAAAUAGACUCUGUAAUGAUAAAGAUCAUAAAAUCGGUAAUGACAUCAAAUGGUACACUUUAAAGAAGUACAGCUUAUUGUGUAUCAAGUUUACUACCAUAAACCUGUAAGGUUUUUUUUUUCCAAAUAAUCAGUUGACAUAGGUCACUCAAUAUUUUUCCAUCCACAAAACCUGUCGUCUACUCUCAGUGUGACCGUGCCACAGCGUGCAAAUGAUGAUUGUAAGAAUGUCACCUCUUCCUAUUUUAUGAAGUUGCUCCUCGGGAUCCCAAAGGAUGCCAUGCCCAAAGUGAUUUGCCUGGAAAUCUGAACGUUGAGGAGCUGAAGGUGAAGGGAAAAUCAAAGCCGGAAGGAGGAAUGAAGUCAGGAUGCUACAGCCACUGCAGAGGGCUGCCCUGGCCACGGCCAUGCCCACAAAGAUUUCCACAAGUACAAAUAAGGCCACUGACUGUUUCUCCCAAACACCGAAAACCGAAGUCUUUCCAACUUCAUAAUGAGAACCAAAGCAGGUCUGUGCUGAGGACCACACAGUCCAGGGAGGUGAUAACAAGUGUGAAGAGUGGAAUUAAGACAGGAAAAUUGGGCUGCCUGGGUGACUCAGGUGGUUUAGCGUCCUACUCUUGAUUUGGGCGCACGGUUUGUGAGUUCAAGCC
Molecule: long non-coding RNA, 1758 nt
Organism: Leopardus geoffroyi (Geoffroy's cat)
Lineage: Eukaryota; Metazoa; Chordata; Mammalia; Carnivora; Felidae
Exons: 3
Source: RefSeq, a predicted model, not a curated record